GCCCUGUCCCUUUGAUGUUAAGUGGUGGAGGGAGUUGGCGGGAUUUGCCUCUGGCUUGCGGUAUAUCUAGUGGAUUGUAUCAAAUCCAGAAUUCAAGUUCUUUCCAUGUCUUGAAAACAGGCAGGAUUUAUCAGAACUUUUAUAAAUGUUGUGAAAAAUGAAGGAAUAAUGGCCUUACAUUCUGGACUGAAACCUACUAUGAUUCGAGCAUUACCUGACGAUUUAGCACUCUUUUUGGCCGACGAAUAUACCAGGAAGUUGAUGAUGAGCCAGUUGGAAGCAUACUGA
This 288-nucleotide long non-coding RNA is filed under the name Homo sapiens (human). RNAcentral's name for it is "non-protein coding lnc-KCNE1B-7:1". The record is from RNAcentral. Lineage: Eukaryota; Metazoa; Chordata; Mammalia; Primates; Hominidae.